Molecule: signal recognition particle RNA, 87 nt
Filed under: Ligilactobacillus ceti DSM 22408
Lineage: Bacteria; Bacillati; Bacillota; Bacilli; Lactobacillales; Lactobacillaceae
Description: Lactobacillus ceti DSM 22408 Bacterial small signal recognition particle RNA
Rfam family: Bacterial small signal recognition particle RNA
About the family: The signal recognition particle (SRP) is a universally conserved ribonucleoprotein involved in the co-translational targeting of proteins to membranes.
Source: Rfam by way of RNAcentral
GUCUUGAGGCAAUGUUAUCCUUACGAACCGUGUCAGAUCCGGAAGGAAGCAGCACUAAGUUUGGUAUAGCAUGUGCCUUAAGUUAAU